UGUAUUAAAACUUUCAACAACGGAUCUCUUGGCUCUAGCAUCGAUGAAGAACGCAGCGAAAUGCGAUAAGUAAUGUGAAUUGCAGAAUUCAGUGAAUCAUCGAAUCUUUGAACGCACAUUGCGCCCAGCAGUACUCUGCUGGGCAUGCCUGUCCGAGCGUCAUUUCACCACUCAAGCUCUGCUU
This 184-nucleotide ribosomal RNA is filed under the name Huntiella inquinans. RNAcentral describes it as "5.8S ribosomal RNA". The stretch from base 9 to 162 matches the Rfam family "5.8S ribosomal RNA". From Rfam's summary of the family: 5.8S ribosomal RNA (5.8S rRNA) is a component of the large subunit of the eukaryotic ribosome. RNAcentral also lists the same sequence under 5 other names. The record is from RNAcentral. Lineage: Eukaryota; Fungi; Ascomycota; Sordariomycetes; Microascales; Ceratocystidaceae.